GUGCUUAAUCCAACUUACCAAGCUGGGUUACGACGCGACGCCGUUCAACCAGAUAUUGAAGCAGAACGCAAAAAGAGAGAUGAGAUUGAGGCUGGGAAAAGUUACUGUAGCCGACGUUUUGGCGGCGCAACCUGUGACGACAAAUCUGCUCAAAUUUAUGCGCGCUUCGAUAAAAAUGAUUGGCGUAUCCAACCUGCAGAGUUUUAUCGCUUCCAUGACGCAGAAGUUAACACUUU
Molecule: ribosomal RNA, 236 nt
Filed under: uncultured prokaryote
Description: partial 16S ribosomal RNA
Source: RNAcentral